GAUGAAGAACGUAGCGAAAUGCGAUACGUAAUGUGAAUUGCAGAAUUCAGUGAAUCAUCGAAUCUUUGAACGCACAUUGCGCCCGCCAGCACUCUGGCGGGCAUGCCUGUUCGAGCGUCAUUUAAACCUUCAAGCUCAGCUUGGUGUUGGGUGACUGUCCGCUUCACCGCGGACUCGCCUCAAAAUUAUUGGCGGCCGGUACAUUGGCUUCGAGCGCAGCAGAAACGCGAACUCGGGCCCGUCGUAUUGGCUCCCAGAAGCUAUCUUCACAAUUUUGACCUCGGAUCAGGUAGGGAUACCCGCUGAACUUAAGCAUAUCAAUAAGCGGAGGA
RNAcentral lists this unclassified non-coding RNA (332 nucleotides) under soil metagenome. Its description in RNAcentral is "partial contains 5.8S ribosomal RNA, internal transcribed spacer 2, and large subunit ribosomal RNA". The stretch from base 1 to 120 matches the Rfam family "5.8S ribosomal RNA", at positions 35 to 154 of the family's 154-position model. The record is from RNAcentral.